CAAUAGCGUAUAUUUAAGUUGUUGCAGUUAAAAAGCUCGUAGUCGGAUUUUGGCUGAGAACGAUCGGUCCGCCGUUAGGUGUGCACUGAUUGGUCUCAGCUUCCUGGUGAGGAGGUGUGCUUCACGGCCACUUAGUCACCGUGGUUACUUUGAAAAAAUUAGAGUGUUCAAAGCGGGCUUACGCUUGAAUAUAUUAGCAUGGAAUAACACCAUAGGACUCCUGUCCUAUUUCGUUGGUCUCGGGACGGGAGUAAUGAUUAAGAGGAACAGUUGGGGGCAUUCGUAUUUCAUUGUCAGAGGUGAAAUUCUUGGAUUUAUGAAAGACGAACUUCUGCGAAAGCAUUUGCCAAGGAUGUUUUCACUGA
RNAcentral lists this ribosomal RNA (365 nucleotides) under uncultured eukaryote. RNAcentral describes it as "partial 18S ribosomal RNA". It matches the Rfam family "Eukaryotic small subunit ribosomal RNA", at positions 592 to 976 of the family's 1831-position model. The record is from RNAcentral.